RNAcentral lists this long non-coding RNA (1761 nucleotides) under Ooceraea biroi (clonal raider ant). RNAcentral describes it as "uncharacterized LOC109610914". The record is from RNAcentral. Lineage: Eukaryota; Metazoa; Arthropoda; Insecta; Hymenoptera; Formicidae.
AUCUACCUUGCAAUAAUGGAAGGAAAAACAAGUCAAAUUAUGUAACUGUCUCUCUCGCAAUGGACUGAACGAAUGAGUACUGGAAUAAGACACAACACCAUCUUCCAUCACUAACUGUCAACAUAUCACUUCAAAGGAGGAAACCUGCACAAAGGACGAAACCAUCAAUCACAGCUCACACGAGAAGCGGUGAGUUCACACCAAGAAUCAAAGGAAUCGCGUUCCGAAUGAGCGGAGAAGGGACGAAGAAGACUGGCGAAAUUCGGCGAGGGGUCCUCGUCGCGGAAGAGAACGCGAAGAAAACGCGAAAACCACGAAACGCCCAGGUCGAGAGACGGAAGAGAAAGAACGCGAGGCGAGUAUUCGCGCACGCACUCGCGGAGAUUCGCAGUUGAAGGAAAAGGAGUGCAAUCGCAUCGGUGCGCACAAUGCAGAGACGAGAACAGAAACGGCGACGACGACAAAGAUGAUGAAGGGAGGCCGCGAAUUUCUCAAAAAGCGCGUCUCUCAAAGGCGCACUCGUGGUUUCGUGAAUGUGCCUCUCACGACUGUCUUAAGAUUCAUUCAUUCAUCCACCGCCUCGGCUCAUCGUCCGCCGUUUGCCCUCUCCUCUCUCUUCACGUGGGGCCGAAGAAGACUGACUUUACACACAUACAUACGUAUGUGCAGCAUGUACACGGGCACACAACGUGCCUCGGGGGGUAUCUUGCUCGGAACUCCUGUAGAUUAAGUGUGUAUUUGUAAGGUGUACACUAUAAACGCGCGUGGCUCGAAGCCAGCUCGCUUUUCUUCUUGCUCGCUCCUUCCGUUCUGGCUUCUCUCCUCUUCCCUUCGCAGGUAGAACCGGCAUAUAGGAUGUGCGUUUUAGAAAUUAACAUUGCAUAUGCGAGCGUGUCUCUUAAUUGAGACACUCAACUAGUAAUAUCGAUAUGAAACCAUCAAAUAAUGCGCAAAGUUAUGCGUCAAAACGUUUUUAAUACUUUUAUCACUGAAGACACUUUUCUCUCUUGAAUUUUACUUCAUUUUCAAUCAUUAAUUACUUUCUAAAGAAUAAUAAUUAAAUCGAACAGUAUGUUACUUUUUACGAAAGGAAUAAACGUAAAAUCACAAGUACGUGAUUGUAAAAUAUUGUACAAUGGCUGAUUCCGUUAAGGAAAAAUAUACUUCACGUUGCGAAGCGCAUAGUUGAUAGGACGAUAAUUUUGUACGACCCUGUAGAUGCAGGUAGAUGCAUGAUGCACACACUCGAGGUAUCGAUGCGGUGCACGCGCGAAUGCGUCGUGCGGUUGAUAGCGUGCGGAGCGUUUAUUUUAACUCUUUCGAUAUCCGUGUACCACAUGCAUCGCGCGUAUCCAUUGAUUCAAAGCCCGCGGCACUUUCGCAAAGAGAUGCCAAGCACUCUUUAUUUAAUGCUACCGCAUUUUAUUUAAUAAUUUCUUCUGGACGGCUGCUUUUUAACAGCCGCACGAAAAAAUUCUGCCGCGCAAGAUUUCGCACGAACAUCGUGGAAUCCCGAGAUCGAUAAAGCAAUCGCAAAAGCAAUCACGAAAGAUAAUUUAACGGAAUUUAUUGAUAACAUCGAGCCGCUUAUUUGCGUCACAUCUUAGGCGGAAAUAUAAUGUCAUAUUGUUGCAAUUUAAUGUUUGCUUGCUUGCACAAAAUCUGCUAAAUACCUUUUCUUAAUUUGCUUCAUAGACAAAAUCGUUAACUUGCUUUUUUUAUAUUACAUUUAAAAACAGCUAUAAUAAAAUAGUAACCAAG